UACGGAGGGUGCGAGCGUUAUCCGGAAUUACUGGGUUUAAAGGGUGCGUAGGCGGCGCAGUAAGUCAGGAGUGAAAGUUUGCGGCUCAACCGUAAAAUUGCUUUUGAUACUGCUGUGCUAGAAUUAGGAUGAGGUCAGCGGAAUGUGGCAUGUAGCGGUGAAAUGCAUAGAUAUGCCAUAGAACACCAAUUGCGAAGGCAGCUGGCUAGACCUAUAUUGACGCUGAGGCACGAAAGCGUGGGGAACGAACAGG
Molecule: ribosomal RNA, 253 nt
Filed under: uncultured bacterium
Lineage: Bacteria
Description: partial 16S ribosomal RNA
Rfam family: Bacterial small subunit ribosomal RNA
Source: RNAcentral